Molecule: ribosomal RNA, 414 nt
Filed under: uncultured eukaryote
Lineage: Eukaryota
Description: bacterial SSU rRNA
Rfam family: Eukaryotic small subunit ribosomal RNA
Source: RNAcentral
CAAUAGCGUAUAUUAAAGUUGUUGCAGUUAAAAAGCUCGUAGUUGGAUUUCUGGUUUCGAAAACCUGUCCGAUAUUACCAAAUUUGGUUUAUCGGUGACGGAGUUUUUGUGCCAUCCUUCCUGUGAUUUCUACUCCCCUUUAAUUAGGUGGAUGUAGUGCUCAGGAUCUUUUACUUUGAAAAAUUAGAGUGUUUAAAGCAAGCAGUGUGUUGAAUACAUUAGCAUGGAAUAAUAAUCUAGGACUUUGGUUCUAUUUUGUUGGUUUCUUAGCGCCAAAGUAAUGAUUGAUAGGGAUAGUUGGGGGUGGCUAGUAUUUACAGGCCAGAGGUGAAAUUCUCGGAUUCUGUAAAGACUAACUUAUGCGAAAGCAUUCACCAAGGAUGUCUUCUUUAAUCAAGAACGAAAGUUGGGGGA